This 291-nucleotide long non-coding RNA is filed under the name Medicago truncatula (barrel medic). RNAcentral's name for it is "long non-coding RNA (MTRU_LNC000773)". The record is from RNAcentral. Lineage: Eukaryota; Viridiplantae; Streptophyta; Magnoliopsida; Fabales; Fabaceae.
UUUUUUUUGUUAUAACUGCUUUGAUCUUCAACAAUAGUGAAUAUUUUAUUUCCAAAGAACUUUCUCGGAAUUUUCUUCUUUUACUUCCUUUUUACGAAAAUAUUCACAAUUAUUUUAAUUGUAUUACUCAUUUGAUCUUUUUUUUUUUUUUUUUGCCUAUUUUAUUUCCAAAGAACUUUCACGAAAUUUUCUUCUUUUAUUUCCUUUUUCUUUGUUUUAGGCUUAACAUUUAAGUCCUCAAAAAACAUUUCAAUAAGUGUAAAAAUUAAGUAUUUGAAUAUUGUUUUGCAA